Trichomycterus rosablanca is the source of this 1077-nucleotide long non-coding RNA. RefSeq lists it as uncharacterized. The transcript has 2 exons. The record is from RefSeq and is a predicted model, not a curated record. NCBI's taxonomy places the organism in Eukaryota, Metazoa, Chordata, Actinopteri, Siluriformes, Trichomycteridae.
GAAGAGCAUCAGAAGUUCUGAGUACGUUCUGUCACCGUGCAUGCGCACUUCUCCGAGUUGAGUUGUAACGGAUGAGGCUGACCCUGAGGACGAUGCUGAGAACGCGCUGAAGUUUUUGGAUUUUGCCCUGACCUGCCCUGAGAUUGAUAUGCAAUGCAAUCCCAGUCCAGAAGUACUACUGAAACAUUACAGAUUGUGUCAUUACCAAGGGCGCUCCUGGCCAGACUCUGCUUACCUGGAAAACCAGUUUGUUUAUUGUUGCUAAUUAUACUUUUGCUGGAGUGGCACAGGUUUAUGGCUUAAAAUAAAUGUCUGUUGUGAAAGUCACACAUUUUAAUAAAAUUUUCUUUCAUAGCUACUUGUUAAGAGUGUAACAUUAAUUUAAAUUUUUGUCAUUUUGCAGAUGCUUUUACUCAAAGAGACUUACAAUUGUGGCUGAAUACAAUGCAAGCAAUUGAGGUUUAAGGGCCUUGCCCAGGCCCCCAACAGUGGCAACUUAGUGGUGGUGGGGCUUGAACCAGCAUCCCACUGAAUACUAGACCAGUACCUUAACCACUGUGCUACCAACUGCCAGUUCAGAUAUGUAAAAAACUUUUGCCUGUAAAAAAACAGUUUAGUAAACUUAAAGUAAAAUGUUUAGUCAACCUUAAAAAUCUAAAAGUUAAGCUGACUUGAAAAUGUAAGGCAACUGGCUACCUCACCUUUUUGAGUUUUCUCAACUUCAGGAGCCCAAGCAGUUGUGCAACUUGCUUUGCUAAGUUAGGUUGUUAGUUCACUCAAAUCACUAUUUAAAGUUGGACAAAAUUACAAUUACUAUUUGAUUGUACUUGUAAAAAAAGGUUGAUUUAACUUAAAAUAUUUUUUUAAGUGAACUUGUAGGGAAACUAAAAAAUAAGUACGAAUGCCUGAAGUUGAGAACUCAGAAAAGUGAGGCAGCUGGUUGCCUUUGCUCAACUUUUUAUUUUUUACAGUGUAAAGCUAGCAAUGUUUAGAGAAAAUUUAAAUGCUUUUGUACAAAGCAGAUGCUUUAAUUUGUUGUUGCAGAACUUUUGAAUAAAAAAAUAUGGGAUUUCCAAA